RNAcentral lists this non-coding RNA (21 nucleotides) under Arabidopsis thaliana (thale cress). The record is from RNAcentral. Lineage: Eukaryota; Viridiplantae; Streptophyta; Magnoliopsida; Brassicales; Brassicaceae.
UCAAGAUGCAAUCAGAGUUCA